Vanderwaltozyma polyspora DSM 70294 is the source of this 113-nucleotide transfer RNA. It matches the Rfam family "tRNA". From Rfam's summary of the family: Transfer RNA (tRNA) molecules are approximately 80 nucleotides in length. NCBI's taxonomy places the organism in Eukaryota, Fungi, Ascomycota, Saccharomycetes, Saccharomycetales, Saccharomycetaceae. The record is from Rfam.
GGUUGUUUGGCCGAGCGGUCUAAGGCGCCUGAUUCAAGUAUUAAAUUGCUUAACUACUAAGUAGGAAUACUCAGGUAUCGUAAGAUGCAAGAGUUCGAAUCUCUUAGCAACCA